UGUGACAUCACAAUGUUCCAUUGUGAUAUCACAAUGCUUGUUGUGCCAACACUAGGCCCUAUGUGCUAAUAUAUUGCUCCAUGUGCCAUCACAAU
Molecule: microRNA precursor, 95 nt
Filed under: Nannospalax galili (Upper Galilee mountains blind mole rat)
Lineage: Eukaryota; Metazoa; Chordata; Mammalia; Rodentia; Spalacidae
Description: miRNA (ENSNGAG00000005947.1)
Source: RNAcentral